Molecule: long non-coding RNA, 398 nt
Organism: Labrus mixtus (cuckoo wrasse)
Lineage: Eukaryota; Metazoa; Chordata; Actinopteri; Labriformes; Labridae
Exons: 2
Source: RefSeq, a predicted model, not a curated record
GCAAAAUGCAGACCUUUGUGACGUGUUUCUUGAAAACGCUCAUAUAAUAACCUUAUUCAGACCACCAUUUCAAGCUGCAAUCUGAAUGUCCCUGAGUAACAGAGGCGUUACAGAAGUGAGACGGGGAUCUGCUCAGCGCUGUGUGUGUGCAUUGUCUGACUGUGUGUGUGUGUCUCUCGCUGCGCUACAACGCUUAAAGGAUGCAUGAUGUGAUGACGGCUCAGCUUAGUUACAGCAUUUCUGCGAUAAAAAACAGUGUGAAAGAACUACUGUGAUAAAGAUAAAAAAAGUUAUUUACUGUGCAGCCCUACAUCAAUCUUUGCAGCAGGUUUUAUACAGCACAGUUAAAAAAAAGAAGAGCAACAUGUUUCAGGCAAAUAAAGAUUCUUUACUUAAAA